Molecule: ribosomal RNA, 2902 nt
Filed under: Escherichia coli
Lineage: Bacteria; Pseudomonadati; Pseudomonadota; Gammaproteobacteria; Enterobacterales; Enterobacteriaceae
Description: bacterial LSU rRNA
Rfam family: Bacterial large subunit ribosomal RNA
Source: RNAcentral
UUAAGCGACUAAGCGUACACGGUGGAUGCCCUGGCAGUCAGAGGCGAUGAAGGACGUGCUAAUCUGCGAUAAGCGUCGGCAAGGUGAUAUGAACCGUUAUAACCGGCGAUUUCCGAAUGGGGAAACCCAGUGUGUUUCGACACACUAUCAUUAACUGAAUCCAUAGGUUAAUGAGGCGAACCGGGGGAACUGAAACAUCUAAGUACCCCGAGGAAAAGAAAUCAACCGAGAUUCCCCCAGUAGCGGCGAGCGAACGGGGAGCAGCCCAGAGCCUGAAUCAGUAUGUGUGUUAGUGGAAGCGUCUGGAAAGGCGCGCGAUACAGGGUGACAGCCCCGUACACAAAAAUGCACAUGCUGUGAGCUCGAUGAGUAGGGCGGGACACGUGGUAUCCUGUCUGAAUAUGGGGGGACCAUCCUCCAAGGCUAAAUACUCCUGAUUGACCGAUAGUGAACCAGUACCGUGAGGGAAAGGCGAAAAGAACCCCGGCGAGGGGAGUGAAAAAGAACCUGAAACCGUGUACGUACAAGCAGUGGGAGCACGCUUAGGCGUGUGACUGCGUACCUUUUGUAUAAUGGGUCAGCGACUUAUAUUCUGUAGCAAGGUUAACCGAAUAGGGGAGCCGAAGGGAAACCGAGUCUUAACUGGGCGUUAAGUUGCAGGGUAUAGACCCGAAACCCGGUGAUCUAGCCAUGGGCAGGUUGAAGGUUGGGUAACACUAACUGGAGGACCGAACCGACUAAUGUUGAAAAAUUAGCGGAUGACUUGUGGCUGGGGGUGAAAGGCCAAUCAAACCGGGAGAUAGCUGGUUCUCCCCGAAAGCUAUUUAGGUAGCGCCUCGUGAAUUCAUCUCCGGGGGUAGAGCACUGUUUCGGCAAGGGGGUCAUCCCGACUUACCAACCCGAUGCAAACUGCGAAUACCGGAGAAUGUUAUCACGGGAGACACACGGCGGGUGCUAACGUCCGUCGUGAAGAGGGAAACAACCCAGACCGCCAGCUAAGGUCCCAAAGUCAUGGUUAAGUGGGAAACGAUGUGGGAAGGCCCAGACAGCCAGGAUGUUGGCUUAGAAGCAGCCAUCAUUUAAAGAAAGCGUAAUAGCUCACUGGUCGAGUCGGCCUGCGCGGAAGAUGUAACGGGGCUAAACCAUGCACCGAAGCUGCGGCAGCGACGCUGAUGCGUUGUUGGGUAGGGGAGCGUUCUGUAAGCCUGCGAAGGUGUGCUGUGAGGCAUGCUGGAGGUAUCAGAAGUGCGAAUGCUGACAUAAGUAACGAUAAAGCGGGUGAAAAGCCCGCUCGCCGGAAGACCAAGGGUUCCUGUCCAACGUUAAUCGGGGCAGGGUGAGUCGACCCCUAAGGCGAGGCCGAAAGGCGUAGUCGAUGGGAAACAGGUUAAUAUUCCUGUACUUGGUGUUACUGCGAAGGGGGGACGGAGAAGGCUAUGUUGGCCGGGCGACGGUUGUCCCGGUUUAAGCGUGUAGGCUGGUUUUCCAGGCAAAUCCGGAAAAUCAAGGCUGAGGCGUGAUGACGAGGCACUACGGUGCUGAAGCAACAAAUGCCCUGCUUCCAGGAAAAGCCUCUAAGCAUCAGGUAACAUCAAAUCGUACCCCAAACCGACACAGGUGGUCAGGUAGAGAAUACCAAGGCGCUUGAGAGAACUCGGGUGAAGGAACUAGGCAAAAUGGUGCCGUAACUUCGGGAGAAGGCACGCUGAUAUGUAGGUGAAGUCCCUUGCGGAUGGAGCUGAAAUCAGUCGAAGAUACCAGCUGGCUGCAACUGUUUAUUAAAAACACAGCACUGUGCAAACACGAAAGUGGACGUAUACGGUGUGACGCCUGCCCGGUGCCGGAAGGUUAAUUGAUGGGGUCAGCGCAAGCGAAGCUCUUGAUCGAAGCCCCGGUAAACGGCGGCCGUAACUAUAACGGUCCUAAGGUAGCGAAAUUCCUUGUCGGGUAAGUUCCGACCUGCACGAAUGGCGUAAUGAUGGCCAGGCUGUCUCCACCCGAGACUCAGUGAAAUUGAACUCGCUGUGAAGAUGCAGUGUACCCGCGGCAAGACGGAAAGACCCCGUGAACCUUUACUAUAGCUUGACACUGAACAUUGAGCCUUGAUGUGUAGGAUAGGUGGGAGGCUUUGAAGUGUGGACGCCAGUCUGCAUGGAGCCGACCUUGAAAUACCACCCUUUAAUGUUUGAUGUUCUAACGUGGACCCGUGAUCCGGGUUGCGGACAGUGUCUGGUGGGUAGUUUGACUGGGGCGGUCUCCUCCUAAAGAGUAACGGAGGAGCACGAAGGUUGGCUAAUCCUGGUCGGACAUCAGGAGGUUAGUGCAAUGGCAUAAGCCAGCUUGACUGCGAGCGUGACGGCGCGAGCAGGUGCGAAAGCAGGUCAUAGUGAUCCGGUGGUUCUGAAUGGAAGGGCCAUCGCUCAACGGAUAAAAGGUACUCCGGGGAUAACAGGCUGAUACCGCCCAAGAGUUCAUAUCGACGGCGGUGUUUGGCACCUCGAUGUCGGCUCAUCACAUCCUGGGGCUGAAGUAGGUCCCAAGGGUAUGGCUGUUCGCCAUUUAAAGUGGUACGCGAGCUGGGUUUAGAACGUCGUGAGACAGUUCGGUCCCUAUCUGCCGUGGGCGCUGGAGAACUGAGGGGGGCUGCUCCUAGUACGAGAGGACCGGAGUGGACGCAUCACUGGUGUUCGGGUUGUCAUGCCAAUGGCACUGCCCGGUAGCUAAAUGCGGAAGAGAUAAGUGCUGAAAGCAUCUAAGCACGAAACUUGCCCCGAGAUGAGUUCUCCCUGACCCUUUAAGGGUCCUGAAGGAACGUUGAAGACGACGACGUUGAUAGGCCGGGUGUGUAAGCGCAGCGAUGCGUUGAGCUAACCGGUACUAAUGAACCGUGAGGCUUAACCUU